RNAcentral lists this ribosomal RNA (466 nucleotides) under uncultured bacterium. RNAcentral describes it as "bacterial SSU rRNA". It matches the Rfam family "Bacterial small subunit ribosomal RNA", at positions 36 to 518 of the family's 1533-position model. The record is from RNAcentral.
CUGGCGGCGUGCUUAACACAUGCAAGUCGAGCGAUGAAGCUUCUUCGGAAGUGGAUUAGCGGCGGACGGGUGAGUAACACGUGGGUAACCUGCCUCAUAGAGGGGAAUAGCCUUCCGAAAGGAAGAUUAAUACCGCAUAAGAUUGUAAUAUUGCAUGAUAUAGCAAUUAAAGGAGUAAUCCGCUAUGAGAUGGACCCGCGUCGCAUUAGCUAGUUGGUGAGGUAACGGCUCACCAAGGCGACGAUGCGUAGCCGACCUGAGAGGGUGAUCGGCCACAUUGGGACUGAGACACGGCCCAGACUCCUACGGGAGGCAGCAGUGGGGAAUAUUGCACAAUGGGGGAAACCCUGAUGCAAGCAACGCCGCGUGAGUGAUGACGGUCUUCGGAUUGUAAAGCUCUGUCUUCAGGGACGAUAAUGACGGUACCUGAGGAGGAAGCCACGGCUAACUACGUGCCAGCCGCCGC